AGAGUUUGAUCCUGGCUCAGAACGAACGCUGGCGGCGUGGAUUAGGCAUGCAAGUCGAACGCGAAAGAGGGGGCAACUCCUCGAGUAGAGUGGCGAACGGGUGAGUAACGCGUGAAGAACCUGCCUUCAACAGGGGGAAAACACUCCCAACGGGGGUGCUAAAACCCGCAUGAGACCACGGGGGCGUCAUGGGCCAAGGGGUCCAAGGUGGGCUCUUACUUGGAAGCUACCGGUUGAAAAAGGCUUCCCCGUCCCAUUAACUAGUUUGCGGGGGAACGGACCCCCCAAGGCAACAAUGGUAACUUGUCUCAAAAGAAUGGCCACCCCCCUGGGGAUGAAAAACCGGCCCCAAUCCUACCGGAGGGAACCAUCCAAAGGGUUUUGGAAUGGGGGAAAACUGACCAACGCGCGCGUGGAGAUGAAGGCCCUGGGUUGAAAAUCCCUUUUUCGGGAAAAAAGUCAUCAGUGAACAAUCUGGCCUUUGACGGUGCCCCGCGAAAAAACUCCCGGUAAAUCCUGGCCGCAGCGCGGUAACACGGGGGGAGCAAGCGUUGGUUUCUAAUUACUGGCGUAAGGGCGUGUAAGCGGUCACGUAAUGAGAAGUGAAAUGCUCCGCUUACCCGGAGACCUGCAUCUCUACUGCUGGCUUGUUACGGGAGAUGUGGGAAUCCUGUGUACGCGAAUGCUAAAAUCAAAAGGAACACCGGUGGUAAGGCCCAUCUGGCCGAUCUGAUCUGAGCGAAAGCUAAGGGACUACGGGCAUGACUCCCCCGUAUUCUAGCCGUAACGCGUGAUCACUAGUAGUGGAAGUAUCGACCCCCUCAGCACGCAGCUAAUGCUAUAAGCUGCUCCUCGGGGGGAGUACGGCCACAAGCUUAAACUCAAAGGAAUUGACGGGGGCCCGCACAAGCGGUGGAGCAUGUGAUAUAUUUCGCCGCAACGGGAAGAACCUUACCCAGACUAGACAUCUAUCGGACGGUUUGUGAAAACACACUUUCCUUUCGGGGCGGAUGCACGGUGUUCCAUGUUUUUUCCCCAGCUAGUGUCGUGAGAUUCGGGUUAAUUCCUCAACAAGGGCAACUUUUUUCUUUAGUUUUUACGGGUUCAAGAGGACUUUUUAGGGAGACCCCCCGGUGAAAAACCGGGAGGAAGGUGGGGGAUAACGUCAGUUCCCCCAUGCCCUUUAGGUGGGGGGCCACCCCACGGCCUCCAAGGCCGGUACAAACAGGGUUCGGAUCCGGGGGGGGGGAAGCCAUUUUUCAAAAACCCGGUUUCAGUUGGGAUCCAAGUUUGCAACUGGAUGCCAUGGAAGUCGGAUUCGUUAGUAAUCGUUGAUCAGCAGGCAGCGGUGAAUACGUUCCCGGGCCUUGUACACACCCCCCGUCAAGCCACGAAAGUCGGUAGGACCCGAAGUCGCUGUGCCAACCGUAAGGAGGCAGGCGCCCAAGGUCAGGCCGGUGAUUGGGGCUAAGUCGUAACAAGGUAACC
RNAcentral lists this ribosomal RNA (1488 nucleotides) under uncultured bacterium. RNAcentral's name for it is "partial 16S ribosomal RNA". It matches the Rfam family "Bacterial small subunit ribosomal RNA". The record is from RNAcentral.